This 505-nucleotide ribosomal RNA is filed under the name uncultured bacterium. RNAcentral's name for it is "partial 16S ribosomal RNA". It matches the Rfam family "Bacterial small subunit ribosomal RNA", at positions 28 to 507 of the family's 1533-position model. The record is from RNAcentral.
GACGAACGCUGGCGGCGUGCCUAAUACAUGCAAGUAGAACGCACAGUUUAUACCGUAGCUUGCUACACCAUAGACUGUGAGUUGCGAACGGGUGAGUAACGCGUAGGUAACCUGCCUGGUAGCGGGGGAUAACUAUUGGAAACGAUAGCUAAUACCGCAUAAUAUUAAUUAUUGCAUGAUAAUUAAUUGAAAGGUGCAAUUGCACCACUACCAGAUGGACCUGCGUUGUAUUAGCUAGUAGGUGAGGUAACGGCUCACCUAGGCGACGAUACAUAGCCGACCGGGGAGGGUGAUCGGCCACACUGGGACUGAGACACGGCCCAGACUCCUACGGGAGGCAGCAGUAGGGAAUCUUCGGCAAUGGACGAAAGUCUGACCGAGCAACGCCGCGGGAGUGAAGAAGGGUUUCGGAUCGUAAAGCUCGGUUGUAAGAGAAGAACGGGUGUGAGAGUGGAAAGUUCACACUGUGACGGUAGCUUACCAGAAAGGGACGGCUAACUACGUG